UUGAACGCUGGCGGCAUGCUUUACACAUGCAAGUCGAACGGCAGCGGGGGCUUCGGCCUGCCGGCGAGUGGCGAACGGGUGAGUAAUGCAUCGGAACGUACCCAGUCGUGGGGGAUAACUACGCGAAAGCGUGGCUAAUACCGCAUACGCCCUGAGGGGGAAAGCGGGGGACCUUCGGGCCUCGCGCGAUUGGAUUGGCCUAUGUCUGAUUAGCUAGUUGGUGAGGUAAAGGCUCACCAAGGCUUCGAUCAGUAGCUGGUCUGAGAGGAUGAUCAGCCACACUGGAACUGAGACACGGUCCAGACUCCUACGGGAGGCAGCAGUGGGGAAUUUUGGACAAUGGGCGAAAGCCUGAUCCAGCCAUUCCGCGUGAGUGAAGAAGGCCUUCGGGUUGUAAAGCUCUUUCGGCAGGAACGAAAUGGUCACGGUUAAUAACCGUGACUUCUGACGGUACCUGAAGAAGAAGCACCGGCUAACUACGU
RNAcentral lists this ribosomal RNA (482 nucleotides) under uncultured bacterium. RNAcentral's name for it is "bacterial SSU rRNA". It matches the Rfam family "Bacterial small subunit ribosomal RNA", at positions 30 to 506 of the family's 1533-position model. The record is from RNAcentral.